Molecule: long non-coding RNA, 1729 nt
Filed under: Mytilus galloprovincialis (Mediterranean mussel)
Lineage: Eukaryota; Metazoa; Mollusca; Bivalvia; Mytilida; Mytilidae
Source: RNAcentral
CACAAAGCAAGUUUAUAUUGAACACAUUAACAUGCAUUAAUACAAAAAGUACGAAAGAUUGGUAUAGAUCAUAGGUUCUACUUUUCUCAUUUUAAUAUGAACAUUUCUUAUUUCCCACUUAUAAAUGUCACACCUAACUUGACUUUUCCCAAAAUAAAGCUGACAUUGCCUGUACUUAGUCAAGAAUAUGACAGUUGUUAUCAAUUUGUUUGAUGUGUUAAAACUUUUGAUUUUGCUAUUUGAUUAGGGACUUUCCGUUCUGAAUUUUCCUUGGCGUUCAGUAUGUUUGUGAUUCUACUUUUUACAACGCCCAAAAUAAUAUUUUACAGUUCGCAACUCUCAUUUUAAAUAUUCUAGCUGAUAUUACUCAGUUCUCAGUUAUCAUGUUGACCUCCGAGUUAACAUUUCUUAGAUCAAGCUUAACAAUUUAUGCUUUUUAAGAAAACAUUUAAACGCAAAAGAAUUGUAUUUCGGAACUGGAAAAUCUCAAGCAAGCAAGAAAUCAGACUGUGAAAUGUCAACUUGGAAGGGAUGAAUGUCAUAUUGGAAGUAGAUAUUUUUUACGAGAUUACCCCUUUAAAGUCUUAUGCUCAACACGUGUACAAUAAUACACUAUGAGAUAAAAUUGAAUACAUUAAGAUUUUAACAAAACACAUUGAUAAAAAAUUAUGUAAACUUUAAAAAUUUUAUAUAAAAAUAAUAAAACAAGAAAUACAGAUAAAUUAUAUAUAGAAUAAAUGAUUAAAAAGCAGAAAUGAAUACAUAUUUAAAAUAAACCAUAAAAGUGUCAAAUAGAAAUAAAACAAAUAAAUACAGUUAAUGAUAGAUGUAAAGGAAAAGAUAUACUACUUUGGAUUUUUGAAUGUUCGUGGGUACCAGUAUUUUCGUAGAGAGUUGAUUUCAUGGUUUUGCAAAAGGAUGCAUACUAGCACAAAGAAAAUUCCUUCUUCAUUGAACAUUUAAAUUCGUUGUUAACAUUACCCACACAAUCAAUGAAAAUUGGUAUCCUACUGAUGAUAAUAGAUCCACAGUAAAAAAAAUAGUAUGAACAGAUUGAUUUACUAGCAUUAACGGCAUCAAUUUAACCAUGUUUACUGUACCUUGCGCAUGUUAACAAUAAAUUUAUGUUCAGUGACCAUGCAUGUGUUCAAAAUCUUUGAAAAUUAAUAAGUAAACCAGUUAAGAGCUGAUAAACCGGACAAGGAAUCAAAGUUUUGCACGAGGAAAAUAUAUUCCUUGAUUUGAAAUAAUUAUAAAAAUUGAAUAAUAUAUUUAUGAGUUUUUUUGGUAUUUUUUUCAGAUUUUCGGAAAUCCUGGUUUUAUUCAUUUGAAUGCCUUAGAAAAAAAGGCCACUGACCCCCAUUUUUCUUUUUAUAAAUGUGAUGUGUUUGACCUUUUGAUUUUGUUAUUUGCUUAGAGACUUUUUAUUUAGAAUUAUCCUCAGUGUUCCGUAUAUUUGAUAUUUUACUUUUUCCUACAACAUUUGGUUUCAAUCUGGUAAUCUAUAAUUAUUCAUGAAAUGUUACUAACAGAUGAUGGACUUAAUGGGGAUUGCAAUAACACAUUCUAGCUUUUGUCAAGGUCCAUAUAUUUGCUCUGACAAAAUCUGGUAAAAUCUCUUUGUUUUUACUCAGAAUAAUGCAAUGCUAAGGUGUACAUGUAACUACUUCAGAUAUACUGCACAGUUGCGAAUGUACUCAUACCUUUGAUGGCUAAUCCUAGAUUUUGA